GAUGAACGCUGGCGGCGUGCCUAAUACAUGCAAGUCGAACGAAACUUCUUUAUCACCGAGUGCUUGCACUCACCGAUACAGAGUUGAGUGGCGAACGGGUGAGUAACACGUGGGCAGCCUGCCCAAAAGAGGGGGAUAACACUUGGAAACAGGUGCUAAUACCGCAUAACCAUAGUUACCGCAUGGUAACUAUGUAAAAGGUGGCUAUACUACCGCUUUUGGAUGGGCCCGCGGCGCAUUAGCUAGUUGGUAGGGUAAAGGCUUACCAAGGCAAUGAUGCGUAGCCGAAUUGAGAGGUUGAUCGGCCACAUUGGGACUGAGACACGGCCCAAACUCCUACGGGAGGCAGCAGUAGGGAAUCUUCCACAAUGGGCGAAAGCCUGAUGGAGCAACGCCGCGUGGGUGAAGAAGGUCUUCGGAUCGUAAAACCCUGUUGUUAGAGAAGAAAGUGCGUGAGAGUAACUGUUCACGUUUCGACGGUAUCUAACCAGAAAGCCACGGCUAACUACGUG
Molecule: ribosomal RNA, 512 nt
Filed under: uncultured bacterium
Lineage: Bacteria
Description: partial 16S ribosomal RNA
Rfam family: Bacterial small subunit ribosomal RNA
Source: RNAcentral